This 206-nucleotide long non-coding RNA is filed under the name Capsicum annuum. RNAcentral's name for it is "long non-coding RNA (CANN_LNC009592)". The record is from RNAcentral. Lineage: Eukaryota; Viridiplantae; Streptophyta; Magnoliopsida; Solanales; Solanaceae.
UGUUUUAUAUUCCCUAUGGGUGCCGUAUCUAUGUUAUGUCAUCUGCUGCUGUGCUGUACUAUGUGUUUGUGUGAUAUCUCGUGACUUGAGCCGGGGGUCUUUCGGAAACAGCCUUUCUACUUCAUCAGAGGUAGAGGUAUGGACUGCGUACAUCUUACCCCCCCCAGACCCCACUAAGUGGGAAUACACUGGGUUUGUUGUUGUAU